CGAGAAUCAUUCACAAUGGGGGAAACCCUGAUGGUGCAACGCCGCGUGGAGGAUGAAGGCCCUAGGGUCGUAAACUCCUGUCAUAUAAGAGUAAGGCAUACGUGGUUAAUACCCGUGUAUGUUC
RNAcentral lists this ribosomal RNA (124 nucleotides) under uncultured bacterium. Its description in RNAcentral is "partial 16S ribosomal RNA". It matches the Rfam family "Bacterial small subunit ribosomal RNA", at positions 356 to 478 of the family's 1533-position model. The record is from RNAcentral.